RNAcentral lists this ribosomal RNA (211 nucleotides) under uncultured bacterium. Its description in RNAcentral is "partial 16S ribosomal RNA". It matches the Rfam family "Bacterial small subunit ribosomal RNA", at positions 568 to 774 of the family's 1533-position model. The record is from RNAcentral.
AGCGUAGGCGGAUAGUUUAGUCAGAGGUGAAAGCCCAGGGCUCAACCUUGGAAUUGCCUUUGAUACUGGCUAUCUUGAGUAUGGAAGAGGUAUGUGGAACUCCGAGUGUAGAGGUGAAAUUCGUAGAUAUUCGGAAGAACACCAGUGGCGAAGGCGACAUACUGGUCCAUUACUGACGCUGAGGCUCGAAAAGGACGUGGGGAGGCAAACA